Molecule: ribosomal RNA, 497 nt
Filed under: uncultured bacterium
Lineage: Bacteria
Description: partial 16S ribosomal RNA
Rfam family: Bacterial small subunit ribosomal RNA
Source: RNAcentral
GAUGAACGCUGGCGGCGUGCCUAAUACAUGCAAGUCGAGCGAACGGACGAGAAGCUUGCUUCUCUGAUGUUAGCGGCGGACGGGUGAGUAACACGUGGAUAACCUACCUAUAAGACUGGGAUAACUUCGGGAAACCGGAGCUAAUACCGGAUAAUAUUUUGAACCGCAUGGUUCAAAAGUGAAAGACGGUCUUGCUGUCACUUAUAGAUGGAUCCGCGCUGCAUUAGCUAGUUGGUAAGGUAACGGCUUACCAAGGCAACGAUGCAUAGCCGACCUGAGAGGGUGAUCGCCCACACUGGAACUGAGACACGGUCCAGACUCCUACGGGAGGCAGCAGUAGGGAAUCUUCCGCAAUGGUCGAAAGCCUGACGGAGCAACGCCGCGUGAGUGAUGAAGGUCUUCGGAUCGUAAAACUCUGUUAUUAGGGAAGAACAUAUGUGUAAGUAACUGUGCACAUCUUGACGGUACCUAAUCAGAAAGCCACGGCUAACUACGUG